Molecule: unclassified non-coding RNA, 203 nt
Filed under: uncultured Sporidiobolales
Lineage: Eukaryota; Fungi; Basidiomycota; Microbotryomycetes; Sporidiobolales
Description: sequence contains ITS2
Source: RNAcentral
AACUCUCAACCCCCUCAUUUUGUAAUGAAAUGAGUUGUGGGCUUGGUUUAUGGCUGUUGCCGGCUUAAGUGCCGACUCAGCUGAAAUACACGAGCAACCCAGUUUGAAUACUUGACGGCUUGACUCGGCGUAAUAACUAUUUCGCUGAGGACGUCUAACCUUUAAAUCGUUAGUGGUGCUUCUAAUGCAUUUAUAAUUUAAGC